This 253-nucleotide ribosomal RNA is filed under the name uncultured bacterium. RNAcentral describes it as "partial 16S ribosomal RNA". It matches the Rfam family "Bacterial small subunit ribosomal RNA", at positions 524 to 776 of the family's 1533-position model. The record is from RNAcentral.
UACGUAGGGUGCAAGCGUUGCCCGGAUUUAUUGGGCGUAAAGGGCGCGUAGGCGGCUCUGCACGUCCGUUGUGAAAUCGCCCGGCUCACCUGGGCGGGGUCAGCGGAUACGGCAGAGCUUGAGCAAGCUAGGGGGCAAUGGAAUUCCCGGUGUAGUGGUGGAAUGCGUAGAUAUCGGGAGGAACACCAGUGGCGAAGGCGGUUGCCUGGGGCUUUGCUGACGCUGAUGCGCGAAAGCGUGGGGAGCGAUCCGG